AAAUCUUUUGUUAACUCAAUUGGUUUCUACUUUGGUAUUGGAGGUCUUUGCAGCUUCACACCUGUUCCUCUUUGUUCAUUAGCUGGAUCUCAGUGUUAUGCUUGGUUCCACUGGGCGUGAUAA
RNAcentral lists this ribosomal RNA (123 nucleotides) under Ceratobasidium cereale. RNAcentral describes it as "5.8S ribosomal RNA". The record is from RNAcentral. Lineage: Eukaryota; Fungi; Basidiomycota; Agaricomycetes; Cantharellales; Ceratobasidiaceae.